RNAcentral lists this long non-coding RNA (337 nucleotides) under Zonotrichia albicollis (white-throated sparrow). Its description in RNAcentral is "lncRNA (ENSZALG00000015170.1)". The record is from RNAcentral. Lineage: Eukaryota; Metazoa; Chordata; Aves; Passeriformes; Passerellidae.
AGCUGAUGAGUUGAUCACUCACACAGCAGUCCAAGCUUCCUGAAAGUGGGAAAUGGGGGAGAGAAGCUGAAAAAUCCAGGGGCUUGAGUAAUCCCCAAGAAACAGCAGAUACACCACCUGUUUGUUUGCACCCUACUUUGAGAGCCAUUCAUUGAUUUUUGCUGGACAGUCAUUCACAAGGAAGGAAGGCAGGUGAGAGGUCUCCUCACUCUACUCAGUGCUGGGCUGCUGCUAAGGAGGACCCAAACUGAAUUUCAGUUUAGGAGAACUGUCUUCAAUAAAACCAGGUGGGAUUUCUUUCUGCAGUGGGUUAACACAUGUAAUUAAUAAAAGAGCA